UGGACUACUCUCGGCGACGGAUAUCUCUCUUCUCUCAUCGAUGAACAACGUAAAGAAAUGCGAUAGCUGGGGUGAAUUGAAUAAUCCCGUGAACCAUCUAGUCUUUGAACGCAAGUUGCGCCCGACGCCAUCCGGCUAAGGGCACGGCUGGCUGGGCGUCAUUC
RNAcentral lists this ribosomal RNA (164 nucleotides) under Musa acuminata AAA Group (dessert banana). Its description in RNAcentral is "5.8S ribosomal RNA". It matches the Rfam family "5.8S ribosomal RNA". From Rfam's summary of the family: 5.8S ribosomal RNA (5.8S rRNA) is a component of the large subunit of the eukaryotic ribosome. It is transcribed by RNA polymerase I as part of the 45S precursor that also contains 18S and 28S rRNA. Functionally, it is thought that 5.8S rRNA may be involved in ribosome translocation. The record is from RNAcentral. Lineage: Eukaryota; Viridiplantae; Streptophyta; Magnoliopsida; Zingiberales; Musaceae.